UGCCUAACACAUGCAAGUCGUACGAGAGUUUUUAACUCAAGUGGCGGACGGGUGAGUAACACGUGAGAAUUUACCUUUAGGAGGGGGAUAACAGAGUGAAAACGCUGCUAAUACCCCAUAUGCUUUCGAGUGAAAUGGAUUUAUUCGCCUAAAGAGAAGCUCGCGGCUGAUUAGCUUGUUGGUAAGGUAAUGGCUUACCAAGGCGACGAUCAGUAUCUGGUUUGAGAGGACGAUCAGACACACUGGAACUGAGACACGGUCCAGACUCCUACGGGAGGCAGCAGUGG
Molecule: ribosomal RNA, 287 nt
Filed under: uncultured bacterium
Lineage: Bacteria
Description: partial 16S ribosomal RNA
Rfam family: Bacterial small subunit ribosomal RNA
Source: RNAcentral